CCGGAGGCAGGCAGUGGAUAUGCGCAAUGGGGAAUGCUUGAUGCAGCAACGCGCGUAGGGUGAUGGAGUCUCCGAUCGUAAAGUCCUGUUUUCUGGACGAUAUGACGUACCCAGAGGAGGAAGCACGGCUAACUACGUGCCAGCAGCCGCGGUAAUACGUAGGUGGCGAGCGUUGUCCGGAUUUACUGGGCGUAAAGGGUGCGUAGGCGGAUGUUUAAGUGGGAUGUGAAAUCCCCGGGCUUAACCUGGGGGCUGCAUUCCAAACUGGAUAUCUAGAUUGCAGGAGAGGAAAGCGGAAUUUCCUAGUGUAGCGGUGAAAUGCGUAGAGAUUAGGAAGAACACCAGUGGCGAAGGCGGCUUUCUGGACUGUAACUGACGCUGAGGCACGAAAGCGUGGGUAGCAAACAGGAUUAGAUACCCUGGUAGUCCCCGCCGUAAACGAUGGAUACUAGGUGUAGGGGGUAUCAACUCCCCCUGUGCCGCAGUUAACACAAUAAGUAUCCCGCCUGGGGAGUACGGUCGCAAGAUUAAAACUCAAAGGAAUUGACGGGGGCCCGCACAAGCAGCGGAGCAUGUGGUUUAAUUCGAAGCAACGCGAAGACCCUUACCUGGACUUGACAUCCCUUGCAUAGCCUAGAGAUAGGUGAAGCCCUUCGGGGCAAGGAGACAGGUGGUGCAUGGUUGUCGUCAGCUCGUGUCGUGAGAUGUUAGGUUAAGUCCUGCAACGAGCGCAACCCUUGUUAUUAGUUGCUACCAUUAAGUUGAGCACUCUAAUGAGACUGCCUGGGUAACCAGGAGGAAGGUGGGGAUGACGUCAAAUCAUCAUGCCCCUUAUGUCCAGGGCUACACACGUGCUACAAUGGUAGGUACAAUAAGACGCAAGACCGUGAGGUGGAGCAAAACUUAUAAAACCUAUCUCAGUUCGGAUUGUAGGCUGCAACUCGCCUACAUGAAGCUGGAGUUGCUAGUAAUCGCGAAUCAGAAUGUCGCGGUGAAUACGUUCCCGGGCCUUGUACACACCGCCCGUCACACCAUGAGAGCUGGUAACACCCGAAGUCCGUGAGGUAACCGUAAGGAGCCAGCGCCGAAGUUGAU
This 1095-nucleotide ribosomal RNA is filed under the name Clostridium botulinum. RNAcentral's name for it is "bacterial SSU rRNA". It matches the Rfam family "Bacterial small subunit ribosomal RNA", at positions 342 to 1466 of the family's 1533-position model. Lineage: Bacteria; Bacillati; Bacillota; Clostridia; Eubacteriales; Clostridiaceae. The record is from RNAcentral.